GCCAUCAUUUUGCAUUAGACCAUUUAUUUCUGUUAAGUGGUUAGUUUACCAGAAUGAAUCAGGACGUUAGUGUAUAUUUAAUAACAGGCGUCUAAAACUAUGUAAAGGCCCAUCUAGCUCACUGGCUAGUAGUUGAACCUAUCAUAGCGAGACAAUAUAACACAGAAUUAUUAUUAUUCAUUACAGUGAAGAAUAAAAUGAGACUUGUACACAUAGCAGUUCUUAUAGUCGUUUUAUUUGCUAAAAUUAAAUUAAUACAAACAUGGUUUUACGCUUCAUAUUUACACCUAAUGAAAACAAGGCAUACAAUAUCUUUAUAUCUCGCUCCUGACAUUGGUAUCCAAUAUACAAGCAAAAUAAUUCAAAAUUAACUGUUCCUGUCUUUAGAUGUCCGUAAGAAAUGCCUCUACACUCAAGGUCACAUUACAUGCUAUGAUUUAAAUCUGGAGCGCACAGUCCAUUUAGAAAGAUAAGUAACUACUUUCAUCAUCUCUAACCCAUCACUAUAUCCUGCCACUAACUGCUUUUGAAAAAAGUGUUCAAUAAAGUGUUAAAUUUCCUGUAAAUAGCAUAUUUGUAUUGCACAUGUGUUAAGUACUCUGUCUGCAGAAGAUCUCGUCCACACUCAUUUUUAUCAGUUUUUAUUAUGAAUCUUAUUAUUACAUAGACAUAGAGGCAUAUUAUCUGUUAGCCCUAUAGACAGUUUAAUUAGCACAAUGAAUACAUACUAUGCAGAUAUAUUUUACAUGAAAAAUAUUUCUGAAAAUAUAGGCCACUUUCUAUGGCUAGGGCAAUAAAAAAUAAUUAUAUUAAUAAAUGUCAUGAAAUAUUGGUCCCUGUGCAGAUAUAUUUGUUGCACAUGAUUCCUGUAUGUUGUAAGUGAAAGUCAAUACUGAUCAAUAGUGGCAGGCCUUUUCCAAGUAAAUUUAAUAUCACACAGUGGCUAUAAUUUGCAAUAUUAGUCACUAUCGCUGAUCUAAGGGAAUCACUGAUUUGAAAACAUCAACAGAACCAUAAAUAUAUUUUCUAAUGUUAUGUAUUUUCUGCUGCAUCUGCAAAUUAUUCCCAUAAUUUAUGUUAUUUUUUUUGUAAAACUACAUAUAUAUGGCUAUAAAUAUUGUCCAUAGUUCUGGGUUCCAGUAUUUCAAGUUCAAAUUCUUUUUAAAUGCUUGAUUGAUUUUCAUGCAGCUGUCCACUUCUAUGUCUACUUUCAAUCAAUAGCAGUUUGACUUAAGUGACUUAGGAAACAUCAAUAUGUCACUAUAAUUAUUGCAUUAAUCUUUCCAAUUAAAACAAUAACCACAUAGACUUCAAUUUAGUCAAGUACUUAAAAAAAUAAAAUUAAAAUUAAAUAAAAACUAAACCAGCAUCAGAUUUGUUACCAAGCAAGUUAAGUCCCAGACUGUCUCUGUCUCUAAGCAGUCUCUAGCUUUUAUAGCAAGAGGCAGAAUAUUGCCCGAGCUCACCUUGCAGAAAGGUUUUUAAAUAAAUAUAUUCAGUGUAGGUCAGUUUAUUGACUAGUCCAAAAUGGCAAAGACAGGGCAGUUGAGAUGGAAUGUGUCUGUUUUGCUGGAAUUCAAGAGGAAAAAUAAUAUUCAAGAUUCCUUGUGUCUCCUGGGUUGAUGCAGCAGUCACCCCUCCUCCCCCCUAAAAAAAAUAAUAAUAAAAAAAAAAAUGAAGAGGUAUAGUUUUGGGGUCCCUGGUGAGCUGCCCAGAUGUGCUAGCUCAAAGCAGUCUUGCAGUCAGGUGCGUGGGGUGUAAUGCAGUCCUACGUUGCUGCCCAGGCUGUUUGUACAAGGCUGUUCUUCCUUGUGCUGCAUAAUAUCUUCUGCUGUAACGUGCAACCUCUGAGAUCUAGAGGUUUAAUCUCCACACCCCUCAAGGUGUCUGCACCUUAAAAAUCAGGUCCUUCGCCCCAGCACCGUGCAGUGAUCUCAGCCCAGUGUAUAAUAAGCUCAGUUAGAUCAGACAGGCAGGGGGAUCUGCAGUGAGUCAGUGCCAGACAGGGCGAGGGGACAGGCUCAGCCAAGAUCACGUACUGAGGUUAGCGCAGGCUCUUUGACCAUGUGCACAGUAACAGCAGCAAUAUUCCACUGAGCUGCCCUAUGAAUAUAUGGCAGCCCCCACCCCCUGCUGGACGCUCAGAUCUGGGGAGCCUCUCAUCCUCCAGCCAGGAUGGGGAUUUGAGAAAAACUCCACUGCGAGAACAUUUAGCAC
Molecule: long non-coding RNA, 2217 nt
Filed under: Pelobates cultripes (western spadefoot toad)
Lineage: Eukaryota; Metazoa; Chordata; Amphibia; Anura; Pelobatidae
Source: RNAcentral